UGCCACCGUUUCUAACAUGCAGUCGACGAUGAACCCAUUCCGGGUGGAUUUUUGGCGAACGGGUGAGUAACACGUGGGCAAUCUGCCCUUCGCUCUGGGACACGCCCUGUGAACGGGGUCUAAUACCGGAUAUCUCUCUCUUCCGCAUGGGGGAGGGUUGAAAGCUCCCGCGGUGAACGAUAAGCCCCCGGCCUAUCACCUUGUUGGUGGGGUGAUGGCCUACCAAGGCGACAACAGGGAGCCGGCCUGAGAGGGCGACCGGCCCCACUGGGACUGAGACACGGCCCCCACUCCUCCGGGAGGCGCCAGUGGGGAAUAUUGCACAAUGGGCGAAAGCCUGAUGCGCCGACACCCCGUGAGGGAUGACGGCCUUCUGGUUGUAAACCUCUUUCUCCAGGGAAAAAACGAAAAUGACGGUACCUGCGCAAAAAACGCCGGCUAACUACAUGCCACCACCCGCGGUAAUACGUAUGGGGCAAGCGUUGUCCGGAAUUAUUGGGCGUAAAGAGCUCUUAUGCGGCUUGUCUCGUCUGAUGUGAAAACCCGGGGCUUAUCCCCGGGUCUGCAUUCUAUACGGGCAGGCUAUAGUGUGGUAUGGGAGAUCUCAAUUCUCGUUGUAUCGCUGAGAUGCGCACAUAUCUCGAGGAACACAGGUGGCGAAGGCGGAUCUCUGUGCCCCUACUGACACUGAGGAGCGAAAACGUGUGGAGCGAAAACGAGAAUAUACCCUGUGAGUCUACGCCGCAAACGUUGUGAACUAUGUGUGGGCGACAUUCUACGUCUCCUGUGCGGCAGCUAACACAUUUUAUGCGCCCCCCUGGGGGAGUACGGCCCCACGACGAUAACUCUAAAAAGAUGACAGGGGCGCCCACAAACAGCGCAGAAUGUGGCUUAUUUCUCCGCAACGCGAAAAAACCUACAAAGCGUGACAUAUACCGGAAAAGCCAUAGAGAUCUGCCCCCUUGUGGGCGGUAUGAACGGGUGGCGUAGGCGGUCCUCACCUCUCGUCUCGAGAAUAUGUGGUUAAAUCCCCCACACAAGCCACACCCUUGUGUCUCUGUGUCCCCAAUGCCCUUCUGUGGGACGGGGGACUCACAGGAAGACUGCCUGGGUCACACUCGGAGAAGGUGGGACGACCUCAGUCAUCUGGGCCUUAGUCUUGCUGCACUGCUCACAUGCGGGUUACAAAAGCUCGAAUCGGAGUGAGCGAAUUCAAGCGUCAAUCGAUGGGUGCACUGACCGUAGAGUCUGCAGAUCCUGAUAUUCAUG
RNAcentral lists this ribosomal RNA (1269 nucleotides) under Streptomyces sannanensis. RNAcentral's name for it is "bacterial SSU rRNA". It matches the Rfam family "Bacterial small subunit ribosomal RNA", at positions 40 to 1316 of the family's 1533-position model. Lineage: Bacteria; Bacillati; Actinomycetota; Actinomycetes; Kitasatosporales; Streptomycetaceae. The record is from RNAcentral.